Long non-coding RNA from Pomacea canaliculata, 2991 nucleotides. RefSeq lists it as uncharacterized. The record is from RefSeq and is a predicted model, not a curated record. The transcript is spliced from 6 exons. NCBI's taxonomy places the organism in Eukaryota, Metazoa, Mollusca, Gastropoda, Architaenioglossa, Ampullariidae.
CCGAUAUAACGACACCGACUUCUUCUCGUUCACUUUUUGGAGCAGCUACAGGAGCGUGAGGACUAAGCUUACUGCGAUGAGAUUGGUGUAUUUCUUGCUAACAGGAAGGCGUUGAACUGCAUCUGAGGACUUAAAGGCAGCAAAACUGUUUACUAAAGAUUACGAAGGGGCGUCGAGAAACUGCGGCCCUUAGGGGCCGGCGAUGUGGUACUAUCUACGCCAGUUCGGAUCCCUAUACAGCGAAGAAAACGCCUGGAUUGUCCGGUGGCAGUAACAUGACUUCUGAAAGUCCUCCUCCUGGAUCCUCUUCAGGACCAGCGCACUCAGCGGAACAUGCUUUCAAAGAACUACCUUCUCUACCAAUGCAGAUCGUGUUCCCAUCUUUUGAUGCGAAGCAGAAGCGCUGUCGAUUCGUUGAAGAAAAUUGCAAAGCAUCAUCCAGAUGUUAGGAUUGAAGUGUUAGCAGACGAUGGUUUCUUCUACCUUGGCCAUGAAGACUACAUCAUCUGCUUCAAGUGCAAGCUGUGUCUGAGAGAGUGGAUGGACGAAGACGAUGCAGCCUUUCAACAUGCACUUUAUGACCCUGUGUGCUCCAGUUUGUUGUCUAGCAGGGGGGACACCUUCGUUAUGGAGGUCAGGCAAAGUAUCAGAGUGACCUGCCAAUGAACGACCAUCAACCCUCAAACACAGACACCACAGAAGAACGAUGACUUUAAUUUGAACUUCCAGAAGUGAAGACAUGUCAUGAGAUGGCAGAAAACAUUUCUGUCUCGGCUAGUGAUCCUUUGAAACGAUUAUCAUGGUUCUUCCUCCAAAGUGGACAGACUUUUCUGUAUUUUUCCUUACAAUGAAUGAAAUUGGGCUGACCAAGGGUUUAGUAUCUGCUGCCACCUAGUGCCUUCCUAAGAGAGGUUUAGGUCAAUUAUUACUAAUGUAGUCUUUGAUGCCUACAAGUACUGAGGGCCAGAAUGAUCUUCUCUAGUUCCAAAGUUACAACAUUUAAUUUAUUUUUGGAUUCUUUUGGAAAUUUUCAUUAUUGUCAUAGUCAUCAUCACGAACAUCACCUUAACCUCCUCCUCCUCCUCCUCCUCCUCCUCCUCCUCCUCCUCCUCCUCCUCAUCAUCAUCAUCAUCAUCAUCAUCAUCGUCGUCGUCGUCGUCGUCGUCUCUUUUCUAUAUCUCUUUUUACAUUUUUCUGCGUUUAUAAAUUUUCCAUUGUGUAGAAUUUCCCAUGAGAAUCUUCCUCAUGAUCACGGGUGAAUCACAAUCAAAGCUGGAGUUUCAGUUUUAAUGGAAAUUUCAGUGUUGUUGCGUGCAACGCCUUUCUAAGGGGUUUAACUGUUCUAUAUUUUUUUUCUGCUCUAUAUUUUUCUUAGCUUGCUCGUGGUCUGAAAUAUCUUUUGGCAAACAGCUCUGUGAGUUAAUGAAGAACAAUCUGAACAGCACACGCGCAUGAACGCCGUUCUGAACCUGUUCACAAACAAUUGUUUUAACCAUUGCUACACUGAAAGGUUCUCCAGCUUCUUGUUGUGCAAAACUUGCUCCGCAACAUCCAGUGCAAAGCAAACCCUUCAGUCAUUCAGCCUCCUGCUUCUCUGGUCUAAUAGUCUCUCAGGUUCUUCACAGCGUCCACCAUUUAAAUUAUUUCACAUCAGGCCUUAUGUUUUCACAUAUAAUAAUGUAAAUAUGGUAAUAUAUGUUUAUUUAGUUGUUCAUUACCGGUUUAAUAUUGAGUUGCUCCAAACUCAUGAGACUUCAGUUUGGCAUCGAUCACUAAUAGCUAAUGUCUUUAUUAUUAAAAUGUCACAAUGGAAAAUAGCAUAUUUUAAUUGCAAUCGUUCACUUGUCUUUGUCACUGCUGUUGAUUUCACAUGUGAAGCAGAUAAAGUCUGCUUCCUUGAAUAUUGACAACCAUAACUCCGAUGAUUUCAGCAAUAAAUCGAAAUAUGACACCACCACGACAUAUGUGUAACUAGUCGAAGUGAUAUGCAGGUUUAUCCAUCCGAGAUAAAUAAUAAUCUUAUCUUAUAUAACAGAACCUUACUGUGUGAAAUUUGACAGUAAGCGUUUGUUGAAGAUUGUUUUCGACCUAAGAAACAAAGAAAAAACGAUGAUGUUUUGAACACAAACAAUACAUCCCCAUAACCAUAAUUCUUCCUUCAUCUUUAACUCAAUACUAAAUUAAAAAAAUUAACUGUGCCUAUAAUUAUUACAAGGAAACUGACUUCACCUCUCACACACUAUUGACCAAACAAUAAAACAAUCUGCUAAUAAUAUUUUCCUCAAGUCGUGCGGGAUCCUUGUAAAGGACUUGACAACAGAUGAAGGAAAUACACAGGACAAUGGCGACCAGACUACAACAUUCACUAUGGGCUAGAGAGCGAAUACCGUGACAGUGUUCAGCCCAGUGCAUGACACUACAACACAACAGGAAGAAUGAUUCAAAAGGUGACAAAUGAGUGACAUUCCCUUAAAAAAAAACACACACACACACAGAGGAGAACUGCAAAUUUAGGCUCAGGCCCUUUGCUGUGGAUGUGUAUUAUCGGGUAUUCCUCAAUGAGGAAAUUGCAGAUGGCGAGUUCUUAUCGCUCGAUUGAGAUUAAUAGUUUAGUGAGAAUCUUAUUAAACCAUUGUGAAUAGCUAAAAAACUGAUAUCCACAAGUCUAGAAAUAGAACUAGUCAAGCCAAGAUCCUGGGAUGAAACUGGAAUCACAGCCACACACAAGGCUUGUCUACGACCAGUCUCCAAACAGGCGUGGUCAUUCAAGUCUGCCCUUCGUCACCACCAUCACCGUGAGCAAGAGAAAAAGCCAGCUCUGACAAAUUACACACAAACACACAUAGGAAGUUGAUGCAAUCGUGCAUUUUCUCUUCUUUUCUCCUCACAACUUCUAAUCACAGCCAUAGAGACAAAUCACAGUUCUGCCUGUCUAGAACAACCAGAUUAAGAGACUUACAGUCGUCACACAAAAGUGCUGUAUAAUCACUG